Molecule: ribosomal RNA, 1401 nt
Filed under: uncultured archaeon
Lineage: Archaea
Description: bacterial SSU rRNA
Rfam family: Archaeal small subunit ribosomal RNA
Source: RNAcentral
AGGUCACUGCUAUCUGGAUCUGACUAAGCCAUGCUAGUUUUGGGGCUAAUUUUAGUUCCAGGGCGAACAGCUCAGUAACACGUAGUUAAUUUACCCUUUGGUCCAGAAUAAUCUCGGGAAACUGAGGCCAAUGCUGGAUAGAUAAGGAUCCCUGGAAUGGUUCCUUAUCCAAAGUUCGCGAGAAUGCCUAAGGAUAAGACUGCGACCUAUCAGGUUGUUGUUAAGAUAAAAGCUUAACGAGCCGAUAACGGGUACAGGCCUUGAGAGAGGAAGCCUGGAGAUGGAUUCUGAGACAAGAAUCCAGGCCCUACGGGGCGCAGCAGGCGCGAAAAUUUCCCAAUGCUCGCAAGAGUGAGGAAGAGAUCUGGAGUGCUUUCUCUUUUGAGAGAGUUUUUCCUGAGCGUAAGAAACUCAGGGAAUAAGUGGUGGGUAAGACGGGUGCCAGCCGCCGCGGUAAUACCCGCGCCACAAGUGGUGACCAUGUUUAUUGGGUUUAGAGUGUCCGUAGCCGGUCUAGCAAGUUCCUAGUGAAAUUCCAUCGCUAACGAUGGAGCUUGCUAGGGAUACUGUUAGACUUGAGAUUGGGAGAGGUCAAGGGUAUCCCAAGGGUAGGGGUAAAAUCCUGUAAUCCUCGGGAGACCGCCUGUGGCGAAGGCGCUUGACUAGAACAAAUCUGACGGUGAGGGACGAAAGCUAGGGGAGCGAAGGGGAUUAGAUACCCCCAUAGUCCUAGCUGUAAACGAUGCCCACUAGGCGUUGGUAAUCUUAUGGGGGUUACCAGUGCCGGAGCGAAAGCGUUAAGUGGGCCACCUGGGGAGUACGGUCGCAAGGCUGAAACUUAAGGGAAUUGGCGGGGGAGUACACAAGGGGUGGAGGCUGCGGUUUAAUUGGAUCCAACACCGGGAACCUUACCAGAGGCGACAGCAGAGUGAAGGUCUGUCUGAAGAACAUACCAGACAAGCUGAGAAGUAGUGCAUGGCCGUCGUCAGUUCGUGCCGUGAGGUGUCCUGUUAAGUCAGGUAACGAACAAGACCCGCAUCCUGUGUUGCUAUUGCUUACGAGCAAGCACUCACAGGAGACCGCUGCUGAUAAAGCAGAGGAAGGUGCGGUCGACGGCAGGUCAGUAUGCCCUGAAUCCUCUGGGUUACACGCGGCCUACAAUGGCUGGAAUAAUAGGAUGCAACCACGAAAGUGGGAGCUAAUCCCUAAAUCCAGUCUUAGUCCGGAUCGAGGUUUGCAACUCAACCUCGUGAAGUCGAAAUCCCUAGUAGUCGCUGGUUAGCAUCUAGCGGCGAAUAUGUUCCUGCUCCUUGCACACACUGCCCGUCAAGCCAUCCGAGUGGGGCCUUGAUGAGGCUUUCCUUUAUGGGAAAGUCGAGUCAAAACUCUGCAAGGAGGGCU